This 2666-nucleotide long non-coding RNA is filed under the name Homo sapiens (human). RNAcentral's name for it is "non-protein coding lnc-RARRES2-5:1". Lineage: Eukaryota; Metazoa; Chordata; Mammalia; Primates; Hominidae. The record is from RNAcentral.
CUCCCACAACCUCCACCUUUCGCCCCGUUUUGUUCAAGCUCAAGUUCCCCUGCUGGGAAUUGGUGUUCCUCUUCCUCCACUGCCUUUUAAGCACGGCCUACACUCCUUCCAGUCCCUUCCCAAGGGCACCUUCUCCUAGAAGCCUUCCCUGACCUUUCCACCCCGGGCUUAAACACCGUGUGACACAACCAUGUGGCUCUCACUGAUCAUACUGCACGAGGGUCAGUCAUGCCACCUCUGUCCCCCGACUCCCAGCACCCUAAGGACAGAGCUGCCUUCUUUCAACCCCAGCACCUAGCACCAUGCCAGCCAGCCACACAAGACACUAGACAGAUGGUGAUGAGUUUCAGUUAGGAUUUUCAGUUUCAGUUUCAGCUAGGAUUUUCAGUUACCUUCGUCUAGAUAUGUCUUAUCCCUCCAACCAGAUCUCAAGGACAGGGGGAGGUAGGGAAGUGCACCCCAAACUUGGAGAAAAGGGUGGCAUUAUCAGUGAUUUAAAGAUAUUUUUGUGAAGCUUAAAACAGGAAAAAAAACACAACCCUGUAAACUUGAAAGUGACCUCGGUUAAACAUUAAAGGCGGCAGCUCUUUGUUUAUCAAAAUGAGGCAUGUGUUCAAAAGGUUUCCAAGUCACUGAACCAGGGUGUGGGCUCCCAGGGGGACUGGUCUCAGCGUGAUUCCUCUUGGUAUCCUCACAGCAAAGCCUGGCCCAAGGCUGAGCAGCACCCUCAGUGCCCAGCCAACACCCCCAAACCCAGCUCCCUUCAUGCUGCUUCUCCAAAGGAUCCUCUUCCCAGGACACUGUGUUCCUCUUAAAUUGUUUCCCAUUGUCCUCACAACAGCCCUGAGAAAGGGGCGGAGCAGGGUUAUUGAGCCCCACUUUAAAGAUGGGGAAACUGAGGCUCAGUGAGGUCAACAUACUUGCCAAGGUCACAGAGCAAGGUGAGCCUGGACUAGGCCUUAAGUCUCCUGUCUCACUGUUGAAAGCUCUUUUCAAUGUACUAGCUGCUCAACAACUAAACACUCCUCAAAACACACACACACCCCCCACUGCCACCAUCCCAGCCGUCACAGAGCCAUGCAUUCCAAAGGGCCACUUCUCCUGUAGAUGCACUGUCUACUGCCACCACUCCCACGACCCCCACCAAAACUUGGGCUCCUGCAGGGCCCUAAGGCCUGCCUCAUCCAUUCUCCCCAACCCCAUCAGGGAAGCCGGCUGAAUAUUCCACUGGACCUCCCCGAAGGCCUCUCUUCACUUCCAGCCUCAGUCAACCUAUCUGCAGAGUGGGGUCUCAGGGCCACCUCCUCUGUCUUCCGUACCCUCGAGGCCGGGGUGGAACUGACCCUGGGGAAGGAGACAAGUCCUACUUGCAAGAGACCCCACCCACAAGUCUUUUCCACAGGCAGCUGCACUGACAUCUGCAAAGACAGAUCAUCAAAGUCCCCUUGGCCAAUCUCAGCCCGGCCCUGUGACUGGGCAGCCUCCUCACUCUCCCCAGCUAUACCCCUGACUGAGGCCCCGCCUGCACGCCGAAAGGCCCCCCGUCUCUCCCCCAAGUUCUUUCCUCCCAUGCCACACUCACAGCCCAGCUGAGCCCCUGCUCCUCCGGUCUCCGGCCGCAGCUCUUUGCUCUACAGUCUGCGCUGCUCAACGCAAAUACGGUAACUCUCCCGCAGCGACACCCGCGCCCCUUCUCCCCGCCCCCAUAAAGACGGCAAGCGUCCCGCGACGUUGCUCUUAUCAAAUAGCUGCAUUAAUCGGGAGAGCUGACCCCACCCCACCCGACCUUACACACAACCUUGCCAACUUCUGCGGCCGGAGCAACCCUGGAGAAAUAUGGUAAACUCUGCGUCGCAACCCCACCCCCACGAAAAUACGUAGGCCUCCACCCUGCUGCCGCAACCCACCCCGCCCGACUGCAAGCCCCAGCUCCCAGAGGGAAUGAAUGCAGCCCACCCCCCACGGCCGCAGCGCCCCCCCGCGGAGCCACGCAACCCUGGAUAAAUACGUAAUUAAGUCCCGGCGCUCCCACUCCCGGAAAGGACCUGCGCGGGACCCGGCAAAUACGGUAGCACGCCCGCAGUGACCCGCCCCCGAGGGUCCGGCUCUGGCCUCGGCCAGGCCCACAAACCGCCCCCAGCGACAGGAAAGAGGGUCGGACGGAGGCGCCGGCCUUUCCCCGGGUGACAUGGGCUGAGCGCCGGAGCCCGGCGGCGGAGCGGCCCUGGGCGAGGGUUUCAGGACUGGAGACAAUAGUCAAAGGGGCCGAAUCGAGGAGCUGCCCUCGCUGACAGUUUCGCCAAAGUCUGCCUGACUAUAUGGCCUGGGUUAUAUCACUAGAGUGACCAGAGGGAAAGGAAGAAGACAUCAGGCCCCUGCUGACCCCACCUCCUCAGAACGGAACCCGCAGUCAAGCCAGAGAUAUCCCAUAAAAGAGCAACUUACGACGUCUGGAGUAGCAGCGGGCGUGAGAGGGCAGAACCAAAUUACAGCUUCCAGCUGCCAUUUAAUGAUAAUGUCCCUUACUCGGACAUAACUUUGCCUUUUACAAAGCCCUUUUCCAUGUUAUGAUCUCGUGGGAACCUUCCAAUAACCAUGUGCACCCUACCUUGUGUGGGUUUUAUCCCAUUUUAUAGACGGGAAAAUAAAAUUGAAACACAGAGUGG